UGCAAGGUGGACUGAUUUGAGGUCUGUUGCAACCACCUAAAAAAAGUGCUAAAAGUCCAGGU
Regulatory RNA element from Leptospirillum ferrooxidans C2-3, 62 nucleotides. NCBI's taxonomy places the organism in Bacteria, Pseudomonadati, Nitrospirota, Nitrospiria, Nitrospirales, Nitrospiraceae. The record is from Rfam.